GCGGGCGUGGCUCAGUGGUAGAGCGUCUGCUUCCCAAGCAGAAGGUCGCGGGUUCGAUUCCCGUCGCCCGCU
This 72-nucleotide transfer RNA is filed under the name Thermocrinis ruber. Its description in RNAcentral is "tRNA-Gly (CCC) (tRNA-Gly-CCC-1-1)". It matches the Rfam family "tRNA". Rfam says of the family: Transfer RNA (tRNA) molecules are approximately 80 nucleotides in length. Their secondary structure includes four short double-helical elements and three loops (D, anti-codon, and T loops). Further hydrogen bonds mediate the characteristic L-shaped molecular structure. tRNAs have two regions of fundamental functional importance: the anti-codon, which is responsible for specific mRNA codon recognition, and the 3' end, to which the tRNAs corresponding amino acid is attached (by aminoacyl-tRNA synthetases). tRNAs cope with the degeneracy of the genetic code in two manners: having more than one tRNA (with a specific anti-codon) for a particular amino acid; and 'wobble' base-pairing, i.e. permitting non-standard base-pairing at the 3rd anti-codon position. RNAcentral also lists the same sequence under 1 other name. Lineage: Bacteria; Pseudomonadati; Aquificota; Aquificia; Aquificales; Aquificaceae. The record is from RNAcentral.